RNAcentral lists this ribosomal RNA (491 nucleotides) under uncultured bacterium. RNAcentral's name for it is "partial 16S ribosomal RNA". It matches the Rfam family "Bacterial small subunit ribosomal RNA", at positions 28 to 507 of the family's 1533-position model. The record is from RNAcentral.
GAUGAACGCUCGCGAUAGGCUUAACACAUGCAAGUCGAGGGGUAACGUGUUGGAAGCUUGCUUCCGAUGACGACGACCGGCGGAUGGGUGCGUAACGCGUAUGCAACUUGCCUCACAGUGGAGAAUAACCCGGAGAAAUCCGGACUAAUACUCCAUACACUCUUAAGUACGCCUGUACAUGAGAGGAAAGAUUUAUCGCUGUGAGAUAGGCAUGCGUCCUAUUAGGUAGUUGGUGAGGUAACGGCUCACCAAGCCGACGAUAGGUAGGGGUGCUGAGAGGCAGAUCCCCCACAUUGGGACUGAGACACGGCCCAAACUCCUACGGGAGGCAGCAGUGAGGAAUAUUGGUCAAUGGAGGAAACUCUGAACCAGCCAAGUCGCGUGAAGGAAGAAUGUCCUAAGGAUUGUAAACUUCUUUAGCGAGCGAGUAAGGACUUCCACGUGAUGGGAGUUUGAAAGUAGCUCGAGAAUAAGUAUCGGCUAACUCCGUG